GUAGGUGAACCUGCGGAUGGAUCAUUAACAGUAUUAUUCUAUACUUUAACACUUGUGAACCGUAUGAGAGUCUUUCUCUCAAUUUAUUAUACUAUUAGACUGAAACCACUUUAUAUAACAAUUAUAAAACUUUUAGCAACGGAUCUCUGGGCUCUC
RNAcentral lists this unclassified non-coding RNA (156 nucleotides) under rhizosphere metagenome. RNAcentral describes it as "partial ribosomal RNA internal transcribed spacer region". The record is from RNAcentral.